AUCCUUUUGCAGUACAUAAGCAUGAUGUUUGGGUUUUUCAUGUGCAUCUGUGAUAAGUACCUUCCUCAAACCCUGUUACAAUGGUGGCUCACAUCUGUAA
This is a small nucleolar RNA of Callithrix jacchus (white-tufted-ear marmoset), 100 nucleotides long. The record is from Ensembl. Lineage: Eukaryota; Metazoa; Chordata; Mammalia; Primates; Cebidae.